GGAAACCGGAGCUAAUACCGGAUAAUAUUUUGAACCGCAUGAUUCAAAAGUGAAAGACGGUCUUGCUGUCACUUAUAGAUGGAUCCGCGCUGCAUUAGCUAGUUGGUAAGGUAACGGCUUACCAAGGCAACGAUGCAUAGCCGACCUGAGAGGGUGAUCGGCCACACUGGAACUGAGACACGGUCCAG
This 188-nucleotide ribosomal RNA is filed under the name uncultured Staphylococcus sp. RNAcentral's name for it is "partial 16S ribosomal RNA". It matches the Rfam family "Bacterial small subunit ribosomal RNA", at positions 152 to 334 of the family's 1533-position model. Lineage: Bacteria; Bacillati; Bacillota; Bacilli; Caryophanales; Staphylococcaceae. The record is from RNAcentral.